This 1863-nucleotide long non-coding RNA is filed under the name Mus musculus (house mouse). RNAcentral describes it as "long non-coding RNA chr3:92256510-92258373". The record is from RNAcentral. Lineage: Eukaryota; Metazoa; Chordata; Mammalia; Rodentia; Muridae.
AAGCUCUCAAAUAGCAGAAACAGCUUCUUGAAGUGGGUGAAGGAGAACGACCAGAAGAAAGAGAAGCCAAAGAGAAGGGCACCUGGGUACAGUUGAUGUGCCAGCCUGCACCACCUAUAGAAGCACACUUUGUGAGGACCAACAGAAAAGAGCCUGAGCUGUUGGAGCCCAUUCCAUAUGAAUUCAUGGCCUAAUAAACAAAAACGAAAAAAGGACCCAGACUCCAAAGUGUUUUCCUUAAAAAAAAAUAAUAAUGCUUGUCAGACAUUAAUACUUUUUCCUUUGGAAAAUAUUGGUUCAUGUUUGUAGCUACUUUUUUGUUUGGGUUGUUUGAUUUGUUUAUUAUUUGUUCAGUAUUUAUUUAUUUAUUUAGGGUUUUUUUUUUUGAGACAGAAUUUGUGUAUUUUCUUUCUAGUACUAGCUGUUCUUGAACUUGUUCUGUAGAUGAGGCUGGACUUAAACUUAGGGAUCCACCUGUCUCUGCUCAAGUGAUGGCAUUAAAGGUUUGUGCUAUAUCUAUCGUUGCAGAAACUUGAUGUGCCAGGGUGGAAGGAGACACAAGUGGCCUCUAUUCUCUCAGAGGAAAGGGCUAAAGGGGACAGAUUAUCAGCGGUGAACUGCCAGGAGGGGAGGCAGUAAUAUGGAUACAAAGUGAAUAAAUAUAUUAAUUAAUAGAAAAAUUACAGAUGAACUGCUCUCAGAAAAACAAACAAACUGAAACAAUAACAAAAAACAAAAAAGCAAAGCUACCCAUACACAUAAUUAAAAAUAAAUUUUAAAACAUCUUUAAAAACAUUUCUUAAGUAAACUAGCCUGUUGUUAUAACUCGUUCCCUUGCUAUACUCCAUCAUGUCUUUCAGUGGUUUAUUAAAUUUUACAUAAUGAGAUGCUCAUUUUACAAAUUAAGGUUGCCCAAUUUAUGCUGCCAAUUCUUUGCUUUAAUUUUAAUUUUAAAUUAUAUUUUAAAAUUUAAAUUAAGCUUUUGAUUGAAAAAAAAAAACCUUACAUAACUUUAGCCCCAUCUUUAUUCCUUCCAGUCUCUUCUGACUAGGUUCCCCUGAUCACUUCCCACGUGUCCCCAACACUUAUGUUGCUAACCUCCUUUUCUUGCUGUUAUUUUGUGUUGCACACAUGUGCGUAAAAAUAUAUAAAUACAAAUUCCUGAUUCCACUAGUUUUAAGGCUGACCAUGUUCAUCCAAAGAAGGGACCAAUGCCAUUUUGCUAGAGUCAUUACUUUCCUAUACUUCUUUGUCUAAAGGUAGAACCCUGUAAUCCCACAUUGGAUGUUGUAGGCAUUCAUACCUAUAAAUAUGUUAUAACUGCCUUUGCUUUAAAUUCUGUGUUCUGAUAGUUUCAAUACUAAGAACUUUUAGUUUUAUAUAUUGUUUGAUUUUAUAAUCAUUUAAAAGGAAAUAACUCAAUCCCCAUGGGUUUUUACAACUUCUAUCUGUGUAUGUCAUUGUGAUAAGGGUCUCUUAUAGUAUCAAAUUACUUUUAAUUGGAUAUUUCUUCUAUAUUUUUAAUGUAUUUCAAUAUAGUAUAUAUAAAGAGGGGUACAAUGAUUCAGAUUAACAUUUCAUACCUGGAACAUUUAUCAUCUUUUAUGGUGAAAACAAAAUUAUAUUUGAUAGAUAUUUUAACAUAUAGAAUACUUCAUUGAACUCAUGCUUGAAUUGAUUGAAAUUUAGUUCAGAAACUUUUCCACAUCCUUCUCUCACCCAUAAUGUUCCCAUGGAAACCAACAUCAUUGUAUAAACCUUUGUGAUAUCAACUUCCUAUAGAUGAAAUAUAAUUGAAAUCAAAUAGUAUUUGAUUUCCUCUUCUUAGCUAAAUUCAAUAAUAUACCAUAUUUGUCUACAGUU